CCCCUAGAUGUUCUGGGCCGCACGCGCGCUACACUGAACAGUUCAACAAGUCUUAACCUUGGCCGAUAGGUCUGGGUAAUCUUUGAACGCUGUUCGUGAUUGGGAUGGACCUUUGCAAUUAUGGGUCUUCAACGAGGAAUUCCUAGUAAACGCAAGUCAUCAGCUUGCAUUGAUUACGUCCCUGCCCUUUGUACACACCGCCCGUCGCACCUACCGAUUGAAUGGUCCGGUGAAGCCUCGGGAUUGCGAAUGCUUCGUGCGGACGCGAGAACUUGGCUAAACCUUACCAUUUAGAGGAAGGUGAANUCGUANCA
RNAcentral lists this ribosomal RNA (314 nucleotides) under uncultured eukaryote. RNAcentral describes it as "partial 18S ribosomal RNA". It matches the Rfam family "Eukaryotic small subunit ribosomal RNA", at positions 1470 to 1796 of the family's 1831-position model. The record is from RNAcentral.